AUAAAAUUUGAUAAACGCAGAGAGACCAAAUAAAAUUUGUUUGGUUCCUAUAUCGAUGAACUAGGGUUUCGAUUUAGUGCGGCGACGAGGAGAUGAGGAAGAGCAAAAGACGAUGAAAUCUAUUAGGUUUCGUUGGUAAUCAAUGGUCUAGGGCUUGGAUUAUGGUGGACAAUGACGACGACAAACCGACGACGAAAUCAACAAAUAGAUGGCCGGAAAUUGUCAUCGUUGUGACCUAAAAACUACCUGGCUAAGGAUGCUGGAAUAGGUCAUUCAAAGGACAUUGCUGAUCAAUUGGGACCUCUUGGUUCAUGUGGAGAUCACCAUCUCUACCAAUCUAAUAUCUAUGCUCCUCAGGCGCAGGCCAUUUACUAUAAAGAUCAUACCUUAGUUUCGUGGAACUGCAAUUAAUUCUGGAACUUUUCAGAGUAUUGUCCAGGUUUGUGAUUAAAUAUCACAUGCAGCUAGCUAGUAGGUAAACCAGCUUCAAAUUUGAAAUUUCAUGGUGACUUUCAUGGUCACCGUUCAAGUAUGUAGUGUGUGUUCAUUCACAGGUGUAAGAUCAUACCAUAGUAUAAUUUUUUUAUAAUUUGUGUGUGUAAGAUUUGUAUUUAAUAUUGCUUAAAUAAAACAAGAGCUAAUGGGUUGAAGCAACUUAAUAAUAAGAACAUCUGCACACUUCAUUACCUAUCUUCAAGUAGUGUGUGUGUCAGUAGCACGGAUAUUGAGGUACACCACUUGAAAAUCGAGACUACAUGGCAUGGACACAUCAAUAUAUUUUAUAUGUAUAUAUGAAAAUAAUAUAAUUUCUCCAUUUUUUUUAUAUUACAAAUACAUUUAUAUUUUUUUUUGAUUAGCAGCAGAGAAGUUUUAUUAAGACUAGAAGAGAAAAGAUAAAGAGAGGUACGUAGGAGGACAAGAAGUCCUCAAAGAAAAGGAAAGAGAAAAUAUAACACAAUUACAAAUCACAUUCAACUCUCCAGUCACUAAAAAGGGCAGUCCUAGUGCACGAGGGUCCUGCCAUUACCAAGUUUGGGGAUCCCCCUACUGAGGGGCAUCACUAAGCCCCUUGCACUAUCAAUUCCCCCUCCCAAAGCAUUACCAAAUAAGCUGUGGGUGGGACCCACAGGUGCACUUGGUAAAAAAAAUAAAUUUUUUAUAUAAAAUAGAUUAAAUCCGCUUACUAUUUUCCUAAUCGCAUCCAAAACUCAGCCAAGUUAAUCCCCCUCUGAGGGGGAUUACUAAGCCCCUCGCACUAUCAAUUCCCCCUCCUAAAGCAUUACCAAAUAAGUUGUGGUUGGGACCCCCAGUCAUAGCAAUCCAAUCCCCCUCCCAUGCUGAUAAACAAACAUGACCUGAAGUUGAUCACUAACAUCUAAACACACAAAGUAAGUAUUGCCCCAAUCCAUCGUUGCCAAUCUAGAUACUAUCCGCCAAAAAGCGAAAGCCAUAAGACAAAGCAAAAAUAGAUGAUCAAUGCUUUUCUCCUCUAUCCUGGACAUAACAUACCGCUAUGGACAUAAAUAGCAAUUGGGUCUUCUAAUUUGAAAUAUGUUUAUGGUGAGUUUCUUAUGAGUUUUUUCUCCAUGCAAAAAGAUUUAGACCAUGUUUGUUUGGAUGGUCUGGAUAAAGGAGAAUUGCAAUGCAAUGGAUUGUUAGCCUUGGGCUAAAUAGUUCCUGGAUUAUUUGGUUGGAAAUUAUGUGUAUACAAUGUUUGUUUUGUCAUGGGAUUAGAUGUUUGGAAAUGACUAUUUUAGUGAAUCUCAUGUUUGAUUAGGAAAUUAUAUAGAAUGAUAACUUCUCAAAAAACCAUUUUGUCUUUUGAAUUGUUUACAAUGGCAAAUGAUAAAUUUGAAGUAUAUUUUGUUUUAUUAAGACAACUUUUAAUUUUAUUUAAAUACAACAUUAGAAUUAUAUUUUCAUUUAUAAUUUUGCUAAUACAAAAUAGGGAAAAAAAAAAGAAAAAAAAAGAGAAGACCAUUAUAUAUUAUGAGAUUAAUUUACACAUGUUUAAAAAAGUUUGUGUUUAAAUAUUUUUGUAAGAAAAAAUGAAGAAAAGAGAUGUUGUAUAUUGUCUUUAUUUUGAACAUUAGAAGUAUAUUUUCUUUUAUUAUUUUGCUAAUACAAAAUAAAAAAUAAAAAAUAAAAAAUAAAAAAU
This is a non-coding RNA of Camellia sinensis, 2158 nucleotides long. The record is from RefSeq and is a predicted model, not a curated record. Lineage: Eukaryota; Viridiplantae; Streptophyta; Magnoliopsida; Ericales; Theaceae.